AGUGCUUGCACUCUCGACGCGAGUGGCGGACGGGUGAGUAACACGUGGGAAACCUACCUGUAAGUAUGGGAUAACAUUCGGAAACGGAUGCUAAUACCAUAUAGAUUUUAGUUCCGCAUGGAACUAAAAGAAAAGACGGCUUUGCUGUCGCUUACAGAUGGUCCCGCGGCGCAUUAGCUAGUUGGUGGGAUAAAAGCUCACCAAGGCCAUGAUGCGUAGCCGACCUGAGAGGGUAACCGGCCACACUGGGACUGAGACACGGCCCAGACUCC
RNAcentral lists this ribosomal RNA (272 nucleotides) under uncultured Carnobacteriaceae bacterium. RNAcentral's name for it is "partial 16S ribosomal RNA". It matches the Rfam family "Bacterial small subunit ribosomal RNA", at positions 75 to 339 of the family's 1533-position model. Lineage: Bacteria; Bacillati; Bacillota; Bacilli; Lactobacillales; Carnobacteriaceae. The record is from RNAcentral.